GAUUUAGCGGCGAGGCCUUUAUUUAUCGAUGGUUUCAGCGUCACAAAGCAUAACGAAUGUCGUCAAUGCGGUUCAGUAAAGUCUAAUUAGCAUGCCCGCAUUAGGCUUGUAGUUGUCGUUAACUCAUUUAUUAUUAAUUAGUUCGUUUAGGUUAUGUGUCAAUAGGACGUCGUAGUGAUGCACGUAGUUUUGAGGUACUGGUUGUUGUGAGUCGUAAAGGACGAUUUAAAACAUUUGCGAGUACAGACAUACGACAUGUGCAAUGCAGGUGUUGCGCAUUGUGAGAAGUAGCAGAAGUAAUUGACUUAACGAGUCACAAACAAGUGCGAAAGGCGAUAAUGCUAUAUACGACAUCAGUACAGGAGGUCACCAAAGGCUCAUACACAUAAGAAUUCUUUUGGAAGAUAAAGUGAAUUCUUAAUUCCAAACAGUUUUUAUGGCCAUGACAUUUUAAGCGACUAUCAGACUUAAUAAAUCAUUGCGAAAGACUUCUGGUGGUAUUCAGCUUCAAUGCCAUACAUUCUAGUUAGAGGGAACCUUGCAUCAUAUGGACAGCGCCAACCUUGGAGAGUUCUUGUGUCAGGCUUGAAAGCUGGAAAUGGACAUACCACUUUUGCUUCCUAAUCAAGUCAGUAUGCCAGACCUUCCAACUUACUUAUAUGCUGCAGUCAAAGGAUCAUUGCAUGCUAGUGACUGUUCCGUCUUUGGACUCAACUGUGCUGAGAUACAGGCACUAACCAAGCGUUACCAAAAUACAUCAUCUGAGACACUUAAUGGAGUUAUAAUCAAAGGUACACUCUUGGUAUCUGAAAAGAUGUCGCAGUCUCACUGUCAUUCUCACAACAUUGUGACGCCCUCAGUGUAUCAGACGCUGGAUGAACUGGAUUUUGAAAGAGGACUAUGGUCUCCAGCCCAGAAUGGUGAUAUGUCUCGUGUAAAGAACCUCUUAGAGCGUGGUGUCCCUGUUGAUAGCAGAGACUCUGCUGGCUACACUGCACUACAUUAUGCUGCACGGGCUGGACACGCUGCCAUAUGCCAACAACUUAUUGGAGCAGGAGCGUUGUUGGACACAAAGACACGUGCUGGAGGAGCUACACCUCUACACAGAGCAGCAGCAUCUGGUAAACUACAUAUUGUCCAACUGUUAUUGGAAGCUGGGGCAAAUAGCGCAGUUACUGAUGCAGAUGGGAGAACAGCUUUACACCGUGCUGCAGAGGAAGGACAUUCUGAUGUUGCAGAAUUGCUGUUAAAGAAUAAUACACAGUUAAACAACAUGAAAGAUAUUAAAGGGCGCCUAGCAGUUGAAUGUGUUAAGGAUCAGACCAUGCUUUCUGUUUUUUUAUAAAAGAAACAAUAAAAAGAGAAGCAAUAUUCUCUUUAUCAGAAUACAUUAAAACACUAUUUACUGUGUGUCUUUUCAAGUACUGAAAUGAAAUAAUUUGUGGCUUGUGACAACUCCUGGAAAAUUGAACUGUUGAAAGAACUGAUCGUAAUUUGAAAUUUCAAGUUAGUACCUCUACAACACUUCCUCGCUAAUCAAUUAAUAGAAGCAGUUGCAGCUGGAGAUGCAAAGUAUGGAUUUGUGAUAGAAAAGCAUCAUUUUCGUAUUGUAUCACCAUUGUUUUAUAUAUCCAGCUUCACUGUCUCGUUUGUUCCUCUUUUCAGCCUUGAUAUGAAUGUUAGUUUUGUAGCUUUGUUUGCCACUAUUUCUCUAGUUUGGUUAUCUUCCUCCGCCAUGUAAGUUUUAACAUUUUUGAUAGUCUUAAUCAUACUUUUCUCACAUAUUUACAUGUAACAUACAGUGGUAAAAUAGCUGCUUUGACACUGUUGUAAUUUUCAUAGUAUAAAUAAUGUGUAAAGUGAAAGUUUUGGAUGAAACUAUUACAAUUACGUUGACAGAAAUUACGAAUCUUCAGUAAGUGUCAUAUAAACUGAUAUCUUUAAAACAACUUCAUUUCUUUGCCAGCUUUUGCUUUAAUUAUGUGCUAAUUCUGGUCUACCUUUUUGCUUACUAUUUUGAUUACAUUAAAAACUGAGUUGGUUUGUGGGGCUUGGAAAAUGAACCCCGAUUCCAUCUGGAUUACCAUCUGUUUAUUGUUUCCACAAUAAAAACUGCUCCAUCCUAGUCUCAUAACACUAGUGCACUUCUGACAUAAAAAUCCACCACAUCCUUAAAAAAAAAAAAAAAAAAAAUUAAUGUUUGAGCAUAAUGGUUGACAUUCUGUUUUGAACUAUUUAUGGUAACAAGAUAUUACACAGUGAUUACAUAUGUAGGCACUUUCUAUUCCUGACGAUCACAUUUACCAAAGAGAUUUGUGCAAAAGUAACUGAAUCUUGGCUAUACAAGUAGUUAAACAAAUGUAAGCCAUAAAUUGAAAUUGAAAAUUAUUCUGUUCAGUUCUAGGGCACUGGCACAGAUUUAAGCCAUACACUGAAAUUAAAAGUAAUUCUGUUCAGCUAUAGGGCACUGGCAAAUUCACAUACAGUAUUACAAAUUAAUAAUGUUGAAGGCUGAAUAGCACAGCGACAUUACUUUUAGAAGUGGACAGUGCCAAAACGAGUGCUUGAUGUUAAAACCAGAGAAUUUAGUGUUCACUUUAUUAAAUGCUAAAAUGUUACCAGAUCAAAAUUUGGUUGUUGUUCAGUACAAUGGGCAUUUGGUCAGUUUUGUUGUAUGUGGCUUAUUAGCAGAGAACGCAGCUGUUAAGGAGCUCUGCUGAGUAGUUUUUAGUGGUAAUUGCCAGUGUUAUUCCUUGUAGAAAAAUCAGUUUCCUGUCUUCUCCUUGUUAUUGCAAGAUGAUAUAUCUUAAGCAUCAGUUCCACAAAGGAAGGAAGGAUUCAGUUAACACGCCAGAAUGAUUUUUUUCCUGACAGUGUUCACAGCUUUUUUGUGUUGGUAAAAUGAUUUGUGAAAUGAGUUCAUAGUGCAACUUGCUGAGUGUUGUGUUGCAUUUAUCACUCCUCCUAACAGUCCCAUUGCAUAUAUUAUUAUUAUUAUUAUUAUUAUUAUUAUUAUUUCCUAUUUGAAAAAUGUGCAUACCAUUUAAGCCAUUUAAUUGCUAAAGGAAAAUCAGAUCUUGAAAUAAUAAAGUACCAUCUAUGCAAAUGCAAUUAAAUUGUAUGAGGGUUUUGCUUGUGGACCAAAAUGCAAUGCUGUGACUAUUCUUAGAUGGUUUUUUUUAAUUUAAGUUGAUACUAUAUUAGCAUUGCUAAAAUUAAUUUCAUUAGUAAUAAAUUUAGUAUAUUAGUGUCAGUUAGCUUCAGUGGAUUGUGAUUUUUUUGUUCCUAAUCAAACAUUAUUUCCUAAGUUAAAAUUAUAAAUUAUUAUUGGUUAGUUGUAUAUGGUAGAGUUUCUUGUGGUACUACUGAAGCACAUCGUAAAUCACAAACAGAGCUGUUCAGUUUUCAACAGGUUGACAAUAUUUAACUGUGCUGAUGAGUUAUUAACACUGAUUAUUUAUGUUUAAAAGUAUAAUGCACCGUAAUGUCGUUACUGAAAUAAAUAUUUCUUUUGUUUCAUGUGUUAAUAUGUUGGAAGAUCUGGGUAGAAACAUUAAUAAAGUAAAUGAAUAGCUAAUGUCUCUGCUUGUUGCAAAAAAUUAAAUGUGCUGCUUUUACUGCAGAUACCUUACUUUCCUGUGGAGAAACUUUUAAUCUGUGAGGUUUUUGUUCUUGUGACUUGUUAUCCCCUAUCAUAUGCUUAUGAGAAGAGCUCUGAGUAGUAGUAGUAGUAGUAGUAGUAGUAGUAGUAGUAGUAGUAAAUAGCAUUAAGCAAGAAUCUUAAUUUAUUUGUCACAAUGACCACAAAUAAGAUUAUUUUUAAAGCUAAACUAAAUAUUAGAAGGCAGACUUCUGAUGUGGUAAUUUGUGUACAUUUGUCCUACUCUGAGAGAAAUUAAGAGUUUGAAGAUCUAGUUAAUCUUUCUUCUGUUAUUGUUAAUAUUCCAUUCUAAUUCAAAUGAUGAUGAUGUAAGUUAUAGUACAGGAAUUCUCCAAAAGCAAUACAAUUACUUUUCUGCACUAUUCCUAUCGAUAAUUUUACAGUGUGUCAACAUAUGUGCUGUUUAUCAUUUUCAUUAGUAUUUAUUUGUGAAAUAAAAUAUCUGAGGCUCUAAA
Molecule: RNA transcript, 4116 nt
Organism: Schistocerca serialis cubense
Lineage: Eukaryota; Metazoa; Arthropoda; Insecta; Orthoptera; Acrididae
Gene name: ankyrin repeat domain-containing protein 39-like
Exons: 5
Source: RefSeq, a predicted model, not a curated record